AACAAGGAUUCCCCUAGUAACUGCGAGUGAAGCGGGAAGAGCUCAAAUUUUGAAUCUGGCGGUCCUCGUGGUCGUCCGAGUUGUAAUCUAGAGAAGCGUUUUCCGCGCUGGACCGUGUACAAGUCUCCUGGAACGGAGCGUCAUAGAGGGUGAGAAUCCCGUCUCUGACACGGACUACCAGGGCUUUUGUGAUGCGCUCUCGACGAGUCGAGUUGUUUGGGAAUGCAGCUCAAAUUGGGUGGUAAAUUCCAUCUAAAGCUAAAUACAGGCGAGAGACCGAUAGCGAACAAGUACCGUGAGGGAAAGAUGAAAAGAACUUUGGAAAGAGAGUUAAACAGUACGUGAAAUUGCUGAAAGGGAAACGCUUGAAGUCAGUCGCGUUGGCCGGGGAUCAGCCUUGCAAUCUUGUUGGGUGCAUUUCCUGGUUGACGGGUCAGCAUCGAUUUUGACCGUCGGAGAAGGGUCGAGGGAAUGUGGCAUCCUUCGGGGUGUGUUAUAGCCCUUGAUCGUAUGCGACGGUUGGGAUCGAGGAACUCAGCAUGACCCCUCGUGGGUUUGGGGCUUCGGCUCACAUCCAUGCUUAGGAUGCUGGCAUAAUGGCUUUAAGCGACCCGUCUUGAAACACGGACCAAGGAGUCUAACAUGCCCGCGAGUGUUUGGGUGUUUAAAACCCGAGCGCGUAAUGAAAGUGAAAGUUGAGACCUCUGUCGUGGAGGGCAUCGACGCCCGGACCAGAACUUUUGUGACGGCCCUGCGGUAGAGCGUGUAUGUUGGGACCCGAAAGAUGGUGAACUAUGCCUGAAUAGGGUGAAGCCAGAGGAAACUCUGGUGGAGGCUCGUAGCGAUUCUGACGUGCAAAUCGAUCGUCGAAUUUGGG
RNAcentral lists this ribosomal RNA (877 nucleotides) under Serpula himantioides. Its description in RNAcentral is "LSU rRNA". It matches the Rfam family "Eukaryotic large subunit ribosomal RNA", at positions 67 to 915 of the family's 3401-position model. Lineage: Eukaryota; Fungi; Basidiomycota; Agaricomycetes; Boletales; Serpulaceae. The record is from RNAcentral.